This 652-nucleotide ribosomal RNA is filed under the name Enterobacter sp. RNAcentral's name for it is "bacterial SSU rRNA". It matches the Rfam family "Bacterial small subunit ribosomal RNA", at positions 78 to 724 of the family's 1533-position model. The record is from RNAcentral. Lineage: Bacteria; Pseudomonadati; Pseudomonadota; Gammaproteobacteria; Enterobacterales; Enterobacteriaceae.
UGCUGCUUUGCUGACGAGUGGCGCACUGGUGAGUAAUGUCUGGGAAACUGCCUGAUGGAGGGGGAUAACUACUGGAAACGGUAGCUAAAACCGCAUAACGUCGCAAGACCAAAGAGGGGGACCUUCGGGCCUCUUGCCAUCGGAUGUGCCCAGAUGGGAUUAGCUAGUAGGUGGGGUAACGGCUCACCUAGGCGACGAUCCCUAGCUGGUCUGAGAGGAUGACCAGCCACACUGGAACUGAGACACGGUCCAGACUCCUACGGGAGGCAGCAGUGGGGAAUAUUGCACAAUGGGCGCAAGCCUGAUGCAGCCAUGCCGCGUGUAUGAAGAAGGCCUUCGGGUUGUAAAGUACUUUCAGCGGGGAGGAAGGCGAUAAGGUUAAUAACCUUGUCGAUUGACGUUACCCGCAGAAGAAGCACCGGCUAACUCCGUGCCAGCAGCCGCGGUAAUACGGAGGGUGCAAGCGUUAAUCGGAAUUACUGGGCGUAAAGCGCACGCAGGCGGUCUGUCAAGUCGGAUGUGAAAUCCCCGGGCUCAACCUGGGAACUGCAUUCGAAACUGGCAGGCUAGAGUCUUGUAGAGGGGGGGUAGAAUUCCAGGUGUAGCGGUGAAAUGCGUAGAGAUCUGGAGGAAUACCGGGUGGCGAAGGCGG